Molecule: non-coding RNA, 96 nt
Organism: Picea glauca (white spruce)
Lineage: Eukaryota; Viridiplantae; Streptophyta; Pinopsida; Pinales; Pinaceae
Source: Rfam
GUUAUUUUUGGAGACAUUCGAUAAAAUUGAAAGAUAGAGAAUAUUAGCAUGGCCCUGCACAAGGAUGACACAUUUGCUAAGGAUAACAAAUUUCAU